Triticum aestivum (bread wheat) is the source of this 125-nucleotide non-coding RNA. NCBI's taxonomy places the organism in Eukaryota, Viridiplantae, Streptophyta, Magnoliopsida, Poales, Poaceae. The record is from Rfam.
UCAAUAUUACCUCCGUCCCAAAUUACUCAUCUUAGACACGGAUGCAUCCAACACUAAAACAUGUCUAGAUACAUCCGUAUCUAGACAAAUCUAAGACGAGUAAUUUGGGACGGAGGGAGUAUAUA